GAUGUGGUACCUUUGGGCGAUACCUCUAGCAGCCUCGACACCGACCUUGGUACCAUUCGAUAACAAGACCAGAGACUUUAACAUAAGGGUUGUCUUGCUAGUUUCUGUUAUCACUGCCAUUAUUUGUGUCGGUUUCAACACUCGCCUCAGUUUUCUAUGAGCAACUGCUAUUUUGAUUUUUUCCAUUCGCGUUCUGCAGGUGCUACUGGUUUGCUCCCGUCGCGGCUUUGAAUCAAAGUAACUUGAUUGUUUUUGCUGCUGAGUUAGCAGCUUUGGAUGUUGCAGCUUUGGAUCAAAGUAACUUGAUUGAAUUGAAUGGUUUUAGGAUUUUCUUAUUGUGACUUUGUAAAUCCAUAUUUGUAAUGAGUGUGAUUAUGAAUUGUAAUUGUGGAAAUUAACAAGGAUGCAUGUUGUAAUGAAAUGAAAAUGGGGUUAUCAUUUGAG
This 444-nucleotide long non-coding RNA is filed under the name Lathyrus oleraceus (garden pea). RNAcentral describes it as "Pisum sativum (pea) long non-coding RNA (PSAT_LNC037066)". The record is from RNAcentral. Lineage: Eukaryota; Viridiplantae; Streptophyta; Magnoliopsida; Fabales; Fabaceae.